RNAcentral lists this ribosomal RNA (243 nucleotides) under Triticum aestivum (bread wheat). Its description in RNAcentral is "partial small subunit ribosomal RNA". Lineage: Eukaryota; Viridiplantae; Streptophyta; Magnoliopsida; Poales; Poaceae. The record is from RNAcentral.
AUGCCAAUUAGGGGCAGGUCCCAAUGGCCCAAGGUAAAUCCUGGAUUUGAUAUGAUCCCUCCCAAGCUUACCAAAAGUGCUGGACGUCCAAGAACUAGGAGGAUAAGGAAUUACACCGAAGGUGGAACCGGCAGAAAACAUAAAUGCAAAAGGUGUGGAGCAUUAGGUCAUCUUCGGAAGACAUGCAAGGAGCCAGAGAUUGAAAGUGACGCGGACCGAGAUGCUACUCCUCCUCCACGGUAA